UAUUAAUUCUGUCAGUUAUGUCCAAAAAUUAAAUCAAAAUCAAAAUCAACAAUGAAAAAAGACUGACAAGAAAGGAAAAAAAAACCAACAUUCGUCCAAAAAGAAAAUAUAGAAACCACCUAUAUCGUCCACCACCAAAACCCACCUAUACCACAACUGGAUACCACCACCACCAUCAAACAUGCGAGCCUGACCACCCAUCACCACGAGUCCGCAACCGUCAUACCACCACCAUCAAACCCAUAACCAGCCACCGCAGACCCAAUCGAACCAUCAUCACCGCCUAAUUAGUCAAUCAAACCAUCACCACCACGCAUAACUAGCCACCACAUACCCAGCUCAACCACCAUCACUACCCAGUUGAACCAUCACAACCAUUAAUUAGUGGAACCAAAGAGAGGGGGUGAGUGUUUGCAGCCACUACAUACCUAGAAGUGGAUUUGGCUCUCUUAAAAGUUGGGGUGAGGCAUGAAGAGAGAGUGAAAAGGAGGGAAGGAAAAAGAAAAUAGAAAGGAAAGAAUAGGAAGAAAGAAAGAACAAAGAAGGGAUGGCCUAGGAAAAAAAGGAAGGAAAAAAAAAAGACACG
Molecule: long non-coding RNA, 586 nt
Filed under: Prunus dulcis (almond)
Lineage: Eukaryota; Viridiplantae; Streptophyta; Magnoliopsida; Rosales; Rosaceae
Description: sRNA ncRNA
Source: RNAcentral